AGUAAGAUCCCUGAAAGAUGAUCAGGUUGAUAGGUCAGAGGUGGAAGCGUGGCGACAUGUGUAGCUGACUGAUACUAAUCGAUCGAGGACUUAACCAA
RNAcentral lists this ribosomal RNA (98 nucleotides) under Priestia megaterium. RNAcentral describes it as "partial 23S ribosomal RNA". It matches the Rfam family "Bacterial large subunit ribosomal RNA", at positions 2827 to 2925 of the family's 2925-position model. The record is from RNAcentral. Lineage: Bacteria; Bacillati; Bacillota; Bacilli; Caryophanales; Bacillaceae. RNAcentral also lists the same sequence under 4 other names.